RNAcentral lists this ribosomal RNA (445 nucleotides) under Cantellius sp. 3 MM-2014. Its description in RNAcentral is "partial 16S ribosomal RNA". It matches the Rfam family "Bacterial large subunit ribosomal RNA", at positions 1933 to 2590 of the family's 2925-position model. Lineage: Eukaryota; Metazoa; Arthropoda; Thecostraca; Balanomorpha; Pyrgomatidae. The record is from RNAcentral.
GCAGUAUCCUAACUGUGCUAAGGUAGCAUAAUCAUUAGUCUUUUAAUUGAAGACUGGUAUGAAUGGCUUAACGAGAAAUUGACUUUUUUUACUAUUUAAAUUGAAUUUAAUUUUUUAGUGAAAAAGCUAARAUGUGUCAGAAAGACGAGAAGACCCUAUAGAGUUUUAUUUCAACUUAUAUUUUUUCUUAAUAGAUUUUCAAAGAAUAAAUUUAAUUAGAUAUUUUGUUGGGGCGACAUUAAGAUAUAAAAAACUCUUUAUUUUUAAAAUUUUUAUAAAAAUAUUUUAUGAUCCUCUAAAAGGGAUCAAAAGAAAAAAUUACCUUAGGGAUAACAGCGUAAUCUUUUUUAAGAGUUCUAAUCGACAAAAAGGUUUGCGACCUCGAUGUUGGACUAAAAUUUAGGCAGGGUGCAGCAGUUCUGCUUUUAGGUCUGUUCGACCUAUA